GGCUGGUCCGAUGGUAGUGGGUUAUCAGAACUUAUUGACAUCAGUGUCACCAAAGUUGGUAUUCAAACCCCGACUGCUAAAUUUGACUAGAAAA
Molecule: Y RNA, 94 nt
Filed under: Prolemur simus (greater bamboo lemur)
Lineage: Eukaryota; Metazoa; Chordata; Mammalia; Primates; Lemuridae
Description: Y RNA (ENSPSMG00000022203.1)
Rfam family: Y RNA
About the family: Y RNAs are components of the Ro ribonucleoprotein particle (Ro RNP), in association with Ro60 and La proteins. The Y RNAs and Ro60 and La proteins are well conserved, but the function of the Ro RNP is not known. In humans the RNA component can be one of four small RNAs -- hY1, hY3, hY4 and hY5.
Source: Rfam by way of RNAcentral